This 497-nucleotide ribosomal RNA is filed under the name uncultured bacterium. Its description in RNAcentral is "partial 16S ribosomal RNA". It matches the Rfam family "Bacterial small subunit ribosomal RNA", at positions 28 to 507 of the family's 1533-position model. The record is from RNAcentral.
GAUGAACGCUGGCGGCGUGCCUAAUACAUGCAAGUCGAGCGAACAGACGAGGAGCUUGCUCCUCUGACGUUAGCGGCGGACGGGUGAGUAACACGUGGAUAACCUACCUAUAAGACUGGGAUAACUUCGGGAAACCGGAGCUAAUACCGGAUAAUAUAUUGAACCGCAUGGUUCAAUAGUGAAAGACGGUUUUGCUGUCACUUAUAGAUGGAUCCGCGCCGCAUUAGCUAGUUGGUAAGGUAACGGCUUACCAAGGCAACGAUGCGUAGCCGGCCUGAGAGGGGGAUCGGCCACACUGGAACUGAGACACGGUCCAGACUCCUACGGGAGGCAGCAGUAGGGAAUCUUCCGCAAUGGGCGAAAGCCUGACGGAGCAACGCCGCGUGAGUGAAGAAGGUCUUCGGAUCGUAAAACUCUGUUAUUAGGGAAGAACAAAUGUGUAAGUAACUAUGCACGUCUUGACGGUACCUAAACAGAAAGCCACGGCUAACUACGUG